CAGAGACCCAGAGAGAGCACCCUGGUGCUGGCUCUGGAGGGGUUAAGAACAAGUCCUGGAGUGGAUAACUCCUGGAGUGGAUAAUGGAGCCGAGUAACCCCAGCAAAGUGAAGCCUCAGCUUGAGCUGGAGGAAGAUGACAGGAAGAACAAGGCAGCAUCUGCGGACCUCCUCUCCAGAGGACACAACUGAAGUCCAGGAAGGUUGACUUGCCAGUGAUCAUUGGGGUGAGGUUCUGAUGACAAGAGCUUUUCCAGACAUAUGAUCAAAGAAGGAGAUGGGACACAAAGGCCUGGGAUGUGGCUAGAUCCUCAACAUACGCCAGACCCUCAGUGCCAGAGUGAUUGCACGCUUUCUAGGGGCUCUACCUGGGUUAAGGAUUCUGGGAGAUGCAGUCCAAGGGUUCAGCAUUUUCUAUUUACACACAACUAAGAGAGAGACCGAGAAAAUUGGAGACAAUCUCAGAAGAAGGGAAGGCAGUAGAAUUAAAGGGACUUCUGGAUAAAGCAAAUCCUCAGCUAUAAAUGCAACUUAUUCAUAUUUUCUUUUUUAUUGUUACUCCUUCAUUUUAUUUUUUAAUAGGAUUUAUUUCCAGGAAUCUCAGCCUCUCCUUC
Molecule: long non-coding RNA, 613 nt
Organism: Monodelphis domestica (gray short-tailed opossum)
Lineage: Eukaryota; Metazoa; Chordata; Mammalia; Didelphimorphia; Didelphidae
Source: RefSeq, a predicted model, not a curated record